RNAcentral lists this transfer RNA (92 nucleotides) under Alcaligenes faecalis subsp. faecalis. RNAcentral describes it as "tRNA-Arg(acg)". Lineage: Bacteria; Pseudomonadati; Pseudomonadota; Betaproteobacteria; Burkholderiales; Alcaligenaceae. The record is from RNAcentral.
AUGGAGGUGGGCAGGGAUUCAAAACCCAGUUUGACGCUUGCUGGUGGUUCCGGAUCAGGGCCGGGACCGGGGUUCGGGUUCUCGCCGCCGUU